Molecule: long non-coding RNA, 21421 nt
Filed under: Vitis vinifera (wine grape)
Lineage: Eukaryota; Viridiplantae; Streptophyta; Magnoliopsida; Vitales; Vitaceae
Description: long non-coding RNA (VVIN_LNC004863)
Source: RNAcentral
UUUACUGUUUUUUUUUUCCUUUUUAAUCUUUGGAUCGAAUCAUUGCUUAGUUCUUGCUUAAUUUCUCCAUUUUAUGGUGGGUCUUUGAUUGCAGGUUUAGCUCUGCGCGAGAACUGGGAAAUUUAAUUGUGACCUCCAAUCUAAUCGACUCUGCUUUGACUAAAAUUCUUGAGCUUCAAAGAGACCAAACAGCCUUGCCUUCCCCCGUUCAAUACAGAGUUUUUUAUCCAUCUCCCAAGUGCACAAUUGUAGCUUUUGUCUCUUCACCUGACUGCACUCAAAACCCUCUUCCUGGACAAGGAGAUUUAGUUCCCUCUCCUCUCUUUGACUUCCUCUGCACCGAAGAAUACCCUUCCGUCUCCAUUAACGGAGCCGCAUUAACCCUCUUUACCUCUCUCUACGAUCAUCUCUCUGGACUAAUAGAUGAGGUCAAAAUCUGAUACUUGUUUUAAUUUACGUUAACUUUUCGUUAACAAUUGUGAGACACGAAACAGCUUGACCAUGAGAUCUCCCUCAUGGAGUCAAAACCCGUGUUGGUAUCUGUUUUUAGAUCAACUUAUAUAUAUAUAUAUAUAUAUAUAUAUAUAUCUUGUGGAUAAAAGGAAAGUUUACAAGUGAGAAUAGUGGCAUUUUUCUGACAGAUUUCACACCGUUGCUUGUUUUGCAGUUGACUGUGAUUGAAGGUCGAUUAAUCAUCACUGGGCACUCGAUGGGAGGAUCCGUUGCUUCUCUCUUCACCUUAUGCCUGCUAGAAGUCAUUAAUAUAUCAAAACCCAAAUGCCGCCCCAUUUGCAUCACCUUUGGUUCACCCCUCAUAGGCGACUUUGGCCUCCAACACUCCAAUUGGAAUUCUUUCUUCUUGCAUGUAGUGUCCAACCAAGAUCUAGUCCCCGGACUCUUCCUCCCAUCCGGCAGAUCUCCUCCCACAUCCUCCCAUUCACAAACUACUGGUUACAAGCCCUUUGGGACAUAUCUCUUGUGCUCUGAACUUGGUUGUGCUUGUUUUGACAACCCUGAUUUAAUUUUGGAAUUGCUGAAAGUCAUAUCAUCAGAGGUUGCCGGAGGAUUGCGGGAUGUUGAUUACAGGAAGAUUUUAAUAAACCUCAAGGAGAGGGCAAUCUUCAAGGGACUUCAGCAGGUGGGUGAAAGGUUUGCAGAUCCCUUGUCAGCUGGGAUCGUCAUGGACCUUGAGAUAAUUGGAUUUGAUCAAACAAAGGUAAACAGCUUUCUCCCAAUUAAUGAUGUAGUAUGGUUUACACUCAACUUCACCAAAACCUGCAACAACUGCCCUAUUUAGAUUUGCCUUCCUGUUCUUUGGGUUCUUCUAUAACUUCUCAUUUUUUAAAUUCAUGGCAGCUGUUGCGGCACAACAUUGAUAUCAACACUGUGAUAAGGAUACUGGGAGUGGAAGCCAGAAUCCUAGCCCACAAAAAUAAAGCUUCUGAUGCCAAGAAACUGAAUGACAUAAAAAUACACAUGGCCCAGCUAGAAUGGUAUAAGAAGAAAUCAAAAGAUCUGAACAAGGGUUACUACGACUGCUUCAAAAACCAGGGGUCAAAAAGGGACAUUAAAAUUGAACAGUAUAGGGGACACCUCACAAUAUACUGGAAAGACAUGGUUGCACAAGUACAGAGGAAGCCCCAGAAGGAAGGAGCAUCAUUUCGAACCAGUUGGCUCUAUCCAGGGACAACUUAUAGAAGAAUGGUUGAACCACUGGACAUUGCUGCCUUCUACAGAGAGGGUAGAACAGACUACAUAAACAAUGGAAGAUCUCCUCAUUACAAGCUGUUGCAGCAAUGGUAUGAGGAAGAUGUGAAGCCCCCAUCCAGAGAUAAGCUCGAUUCCAAGAAACUAAAGGUGUCUGGUAUCCUAACUGAGGAUUCUUUGUUUUGGGCACAUGUGGAGGAGGCUCUCUUGUCAUGCGAAUCGCUCAAGAGUGCAAACUCUACUCUUGAGCAGAGAAAAUCAUCAUGGGAUAAUCUGGUUAAGUUUGGGGAGUAUGUAAUGGAACAGAUUGGAAACUAUGCAGUGUCCCCUGAGAUUUUCUUGGGGGAAAGCAGCUUCAUGAAAUGGUGGGGAGUGUAUGAGGACUACAUAGAUGCUUCCAAUAAUUCCUAUGGGUCACCAUUGAUCAGCUUUAUGAAGAACCGUAGUUAUAGACUGUAUGGUUAGAGGGCAAUCCAGUUUGUGUAUUGUGUUUAUUGUAUUGUGAGCAUUCAAUAGAUAAAACUAGAAAGAGCGUGACCUUUUUAUGACAACUUUAGAAACCAGGGGUUAAAAGAGACAUUACAAACUGAAGUUUUUGAGAGGAAACCUCAAGAGUAUACUGGGAAGCCAUGGUGGAACAAGUAGAGAGGAAGCCUCAGAAGGAAGGAGCAAUGGUUGAACCACUUGACAUUGUUGCCUACUACAGGGAGGGUGUAAGAAACAACAUAACCGAGGGAAGAUCUGAACGUUAAACGUUGUCCAAUUAUUAUAAAUGUCUUAUACAUUACGUGUGAAAAUACCAAAAAAAAUUAUAUUCAACAUUUAUGUUUGUAUACAAGCAAUAUUUUGGAUAGUUUGAUAUAAAAAACAAAUGAAGAAAAUGAAGAAAAACAUACAAAUAUAUUUACAAUGGACAAACUUAUACAAUUAGUAUAAAUGUCUUGUAUAUUUAGUACAAAUGUCUCGUACUUUGUAAAAAUAUAAAAAUAUAGUAUUUGACUUUUAUAUAUGUGUGAAAAUGUAAAAAGAAAAAGAAAAAUAGUUAGAGCAUUUGGUACCGUGAGUGAUGACUUCACCUAAAGAAAGGUUAAUGAAUAUUAUGGUCUCGAUGGAAGAGCGACUCCGGUAAAAUAUAUGGAUUAAAUUGAUGCUUUUCUUUUGACGAUGAAGUAGUUGAGUUAUGAAUACGAGGUUUUGCUAACAGCAUUGAAGGCAAGGAUUCCCUAAUAUACUCCAAUUCAUAUUCAAUUUGUAGACCUUCAACUAACUACUCUUGCUAACGAGCAUAUCCAAGUCAAUACAUAAGAUUAAUUAAGAUUAAGUAUUACGUAUGAUAAUUGAAACCCUAUUUAAAUAAAUAAUGACACAUAUAUAAAAAAUAUAUAUAUUUUUAAAAAAAUAAAUAACAAUUUAGAGAAUUUCAUAACUUAGCAUCAAACCUAUUGUAAGAAAGAGUAUUAUACAAUGUAGGGUUUAGGAUCCAAGUCAACCUAAGAUCAAAUUUAAGUUUUAAGAUCAAUUCACAUUCAAAACUAAGGUUUUAAGUUUCAAAAAUAUAUUUCUUAAACCAAUUAAAUGGAAAAAAGAAAAUUACAAAGAAAAUUUCUCCCUCAUCAGUUUCUUUUAUCUUGAAAACUAAAGGAAAUAUAUAUCAAUAUUUGAGAUGGAAAUUCAUAAUCUUAGGUGGUGUUUGUUUUUUUGGCUUUUUGCUGAAAACUAUUUAGUUUUAGAAUUUAGGUUUUUUUUUUUUUUUACUUUUUCAUGACUUAUAAUAAACUUUUUACUAAAUAGAAAAAACCAAAAUAUGUGGUUUUUUCUAAAUAGAAAAAAUAACACAAUGGUUUUUUUUACUUUUUAAUACUUAAUAGAAAUAAAAUACUACAAAAACAAACAUCUUAAUAUUUAAUACUAUUAAGUAUUAAGGUUCUAUUUAGAAUUAAGUAAAAAAACAAACACCACCUUAGAAACACAAAGAACAAAGAGAGUAUGAAGAGACCAUACCAUGAGAGAUUUUCCGAAAGGUUGGUAAACCAUGGUAAUCACCUUUGAGUCUUGCUGAGAAAAACAAACCUUAUUUAUUUUUAUUUUUUUAUCAUUUUUUCUCUUGUGUGGUGUACAUUUAAGAAAAACAAAUCUCAAAAAAAAAAAAAAACACAAACCAAAUAAUGCCAGAAUUUGGGUUGAGAAACACCCAAAAGAUAGUGGCCCAAUACAUGUGCCUAAGAAAAUCUUCAUGAGCCGAUAAACAUAGUCACAAAACUAGUAACAGCCUUGUAGCCAUAGUUGGUGUAGUAUGAGCAAGUGGGGUAUGAAGUAGGUAGGUGAGUAUUGCAAUGAAAUUUCCAGCACUGCUUCCUGAAUUAAGAAAUCACAUACCCAAGUCUUAGUCGUCGUCGUCGUCGUACCGUGUGAGAACCGGGAAGAAUCUUUGCUCGUAGACUGGCUUUUGUAGUCUUUCUUUAACAAUUACAAGUUAUCUGAAUUCCCUUCAUCCUCCUAUAUAAUAUUGUUUUGGUCUUGUUCUUGUUGCAUUGUGGCUAGGCAUCUCCAUGGAAGGAAGGAGGAUGAAUCAAGUUCCUUUGUAUGAAUCAAUUUCUCUGCUCUUUUUUUUUUUCAAUCCUUGAAUCGAAUCAUUGCUUAGUUCUUGCUUUAAUUUCUCCAUUUUCUGUUGGGUCUUUGAUUGCAGGUUUAGCUCUGCAAGAGAACUGGGAAAUUUAAUUGUGACCUCCAAUCUAAUCGACUCUGCUUUGACUAAAAUUCUUGAGCUUCAAAGAGACCAAACAGCCUUGCUUUCCCCCGUUCAAUACAGAGUUUUUUUAUCCAUCUCCCAACUGCACAAUUGUAGCUUUUGUCUCUUCACCUGACUGCACUCAAAACCCUCUUCCUGGACAAGGAGAUUUAGUUCCCUCUCCUCUCUUUGACUUCCUCUGCACCGAAGAAUACAAGUCCGUCUCCAUUAACAGAGCUGCAUUAACCCUCUUUACCUCUCUCCACGAUCAUCUCUCUGGACUAAAAACUCAGGUCAAAAUAUGAUAGUUGUUUUUAUUUUCGUUUCCUUUUUGUUAACAAUUGUGAGACAUGAAACAGCUUGACCAUGAGAUCUCUCUCAUAGAGUCAAACUACCUGAAGAAGAAGAAGACGUUACACAUAUCCAUCUGCGUUGCAUCAUCGCAUUACCCAUUGAUCGGUUGUGAUUCAACUCUUAAUAGGAAGACAGUAGAACUGGUGUUGGUAUCUGUUUUUAGAUCAGCUUAUAUGUAUCUUGUUGCUAAAAAGGGAAUGUUUAGAAGUGAGAUUAAUGGGAUUAUUCUGACAUGGAUUUCAUAUGGUUACCUGUUUUGCAGUUGACUGUGAUUGAAGGUCAAUUAAUCAUCACUGGGCACUCCCUGGGAGGAGCCGUUGCUUCUCUCUUCACCUUAUGCCUGCUAGAUGAAAAUUUAUUAAAACCCAAAUGCCGCCCCUUUUGUAUCACCUUUGGUUCACCCCUCGUCGGCGGCUUUGGCCUCCAACACUCCAUAUGGAAUUCUUUCUUCCUGCAUGUAGUGUCUAACCAAGACCCAGUCCCCGGUCUCUUCCUCCCAUCUGGCAGAGGCAGAUCUACGCCCACAUCCUCCCAUUCACAAACUACCGGUUACAAGCCCUUUGGGACAUAUCUCUUGUGCUCUGAACUUGGUUGUGCUUGUUUUGACAACCCUGAUUUAAUUUUGGAAUUGCUGAAAGUCAUAUCAUCAGAGGUUGCCGGAGGAUUGCAGGAUGUUGAUUAUGGGGAGAUUUUAAGAAACCUCAAGGAGAGGGCAAUCUGCAAGGGACUUCCGCAGGUGGGUGAAAGGUUUGCAAAUCCAUUUUCAGCUGGGAUCAUCAUGGAACUUGAGACAAUUGGAUUUAAUCAAACAAAGGUAAACAGCUUUCUCCCAUCUAAUGAUGUUAUGGAACAUGGUUUACACCUCAUUAAAUACUGCAACAACUGCCCUAUUUAGAUUUACCUUCUUGUUCUUUGGGAUUUUCCAUAACUAGACUCAUUUUUUAAUUUCAUGGCAGCUGCUGCAGCAUAACAUUGAUAUCGAGACUGUGAUAAGCGCAAUGGAAGCGGAAGCAAGAAACCUAACCCAGAAAAAUAAAGCUUCCGAUGCCAAGAAACUGAAUGAAAUAAAAAUAGACAUGACCCGGCUAGAAUUGUAUAAGAAGAAUUCGAACAUGGGUUACUACGAUUGCUUCAAAAACCAGGGGUCUAAAAGGGACAUCCACGUUGAACAGUUUAGGGUAAACCUCACAGGGUACUGGGAAGGCAUGGUUGCACAAAUACAGAGGAAGCCUCAUAAGGAAGGAGCAACAUUUCGAACCCGUUGGCUCUAUGCAGGGACGGUUUAUAGAAGAAUGGUUGAACCACUGGACAUUGCUGCCUUCUACAGAGAGGGUAGAAAAGACUACAUGAAUAAAAGAUCUGCACAUUACAAGCUGUUGCAGGAAUGGUAUGAGGAAGAUGUGAAACCCCCCUCUAGAGAUAAGCUUGAUUCCAAGAAGCAAAAGGUGUCCAGUAUCCUAACUGAGGAUUCUUGCUUUUGGGCACAUGUGGAGGAGGCUAUCUUGUCAUGCGAAUUGCUCAAGAGUGAAAACUGUAAUCUUGAGGAGGGAAAAUCAUCAUGGGAUAAUCUGGUUAAGUUCGAGGAGUAUGUAAUGGAACAGAUUGACAACUAUGCAGUGUCCCCUGAGAUUUUCUUGGAGAAAAGCAGCUUCAUGAAAUGGAGGGGACUGUAUGAGGGCUACAUAGAUACUCGCAGUAAUUCCCAUAGCUCGCCAUUGAUCAGCUUUAUGAAGAAUCGUAGUUAUAGACAAUAUGGAUAGAGGGGUAAUCCAGUUUGUGUGUUGUGUGUAUUGUUUUGUGAGCAUUCAAUGGAUAGAACUAGAAAGAGUGUGACCUUUUCCUUUUUUUUUUCAGUUGCUGCCCAUAUUCUCAGCACUAUUUUCUUCCUUCUUUUCCUCAGUUUUUUUGUUAAGAAAUGAAUAUUAUGAUGUUGCCGGGAUGCACUUUCAUUUUUGUUCCAUUACAUUGUGUUUUAUUCAUAUCCUAAACAAAUAAAUGUAAACAAGAAAAUCAAAUGAGACUUCAAAGAGUCUGUUCCUUUUAAAGCAAGGGAAAAAAAGGACAUGUUUGUUUACUUCCACAGCUGGGUAGAUUCAACUCCACCAAAAUUGGCAACAACUUCCCAUUGAAAAAUUCCUUUUAAGCUUGAAUGACAUAAAACUAGAUAUGUUCCAGCUAGAAUGGUACAAGAAAGAAAUCAAAAGAUGAGCACAAUGGGUUAUUAUGACAGCUUUAGAAACCUGGGGUGUAAAAGAGACAUUAAAAUGGAACCGAGGGGAAGACAUUGUAGAACAAGUAAAGAGGAAGCCUCACCAGGAAGGGCAGCUUUGCAAACCCUCUGGCUCUGUACAGGAACGAAUUAUAGAAAGAUGGUUGAACCACUUGACAUUGCUGCCUACCACAGAGAGGGUGGAAGAAACUACAUAACCAAUGGAGGAUGUAAACAUUACACGCUAUUAGAGCAAUGAUGCAAUGAAGAGAAGGGGACUUUGUCUUCCAAUAAUUUAAGAAAAUAAAACCAAAUAAUGCCAGAAUUUGGGUUGAGAAACACCCAAAAGAUAGUGGCCCAAUAUGAAGUAGUCACAAAACUAGUAACAGCCUUGUGGCCAUAGUUGGUGUAGUAUGAGCAAGUGGGGUAUGAAGUAGGUAGGUGAGUAUUGCAAUGAAAUUUCCAGCACUGCUUCCUGAAUUAAGAAAUCACAUACUCAAGUCUUAAUCGUUGUCAUCAUACCGUGUGAGAACCGAGGAAGAAUCUUUGCUCUUAGACUGGAUUUUGUAGUCUUUCUUUAACAAUUACAAGUUAUCUGAAUUCCCUUCAUCCUCCUAUAUAAUAUUGUUUUUGGUCUUGUUCUUGUUGCAUUGUGGCUAGGCAUCUCCAUGGGAGGAAGGAGGAUGAAUCAAGUUCCUUUGUAUGAAUCAAUUUCUCUGCUCUUUUUUUUUUCAAUCCUUGAAUCGAAUCAUUGCUUAGUUCUUGCUUUAAUUUCUCCAUUUUCUGUUGGGUCUUUGAUUGCAGGUUUAGCUCUGCAAGAAAACUGGGAAAUUUAAUUGUGACCUCCAAUCUAAUCGACUCUGCUUUGACUAAAAUUCUUGAGCUUCAAAGAGACCAAACAGCCUUGCCUUCCCCCGUUCAAUACAGAGUUUUUUAUCCAUCUCCCAACUGCACAAUUGUAGCUUUUGUCUCUUCACCUGACUGCACUCAAAACCCUCUUCCUGGACAAGGAGAUUUAGUUCCCUCUCCUCUCUUUGACUUCCUCUGCACCGAAGAAUACAAGUCCGUCUCCAUUAACAGAGCUGCAUUAACCCUCUUUACCUCUCUCCACGAUCAUCUCUCUGGACUAAAAACUCAGGUCAAAAUAUGAUAGUUGUUUUUAUUUUCGUUUCCUUUUUGUUAACAAUUGGGAGACAUGAAACAGCUUGACCAUGAGAUCUCUCUCAUAGAGUCAAACUACCUGAAGAAGAAGAAGACGUUACACAUAUCCAUCUGCGCUGCAUCAUCGCAUUACCCAUUGAUCGGUUGUGAUUCAACUCUUAAUAGGAAGACAGUAGAACUGGUGUUGGUAUCUGUUUUUAGAUCAGCUUAUAUGUAUCUUGUUGCUAAAAAGGGAAUGUUUAGAAGUGAGAUUAAUGGGAUUAUUCUGACAUGGAUUUCAUAUGGUUACCUGUUUUGCAGUUGACUGUGAUUGAAGGUCGAUUAAUCAUUACUGGGUACUCGAUGGGAGGAUCCGUUGCUUCUCUCUUCACCUUAUGCCUGUUAGAAGUCAUCAAUUUAUCAAAACCCAAAUGCCGCCCCAUUUGUAUCACCUUUGGUUCACCCCUCAUAGGCGACUUUGGCCUCCAACACUCCAAUUGGAAUUCUUUCUUCUUGCAUGUAGUGUCCAACCAAGAUCUAGUCCCCGGACUCUUCCUCCCAUCCGACAGAUCUCCUCCCACAUCCUCCCAUUCACAAACUACUGGUUACAAGCCCUUUGGGACAUAUCUCUUGUGCUCUGAACUUGGUUGUGCUUGUUUUGACAACUCUGAUUUAAUUUUGGAAUUGCUGAAAGUCAUAUCAUCAGAGGUUGCCAGAGGAUUGCGGGAUGUUGAUUACAGGAAGAUUUUAAGAAACCUCAAGGAGAGGGCAAUCUGCAAGGGACUUCCGCAGGUGGGUGAAAGGUUUGCAAAUCCAUUUUCAGCUGGGAUCAUCAUGGAACUUGAGACGAUUGGAUUUAAUGAAACAAAGGUAAACAGCUUUCUCCCAUCUACUGAUGUUAUGGAACAUGGUUUACACAUCAUUAAAUACUGCAACAACUGCCCUAUUUAGAUUUAGGGCAAUGAUGAAAAUAUCAGUAAUCACGGAUAUAUCAGUAUUUCGAUUUUACGGAUAUAUCGGAUAUAUCGGAGAUAUAUCGGUAGAUAUUUUGAAAAAAAAUAUCGGCAAGCUUAAAAUUGUUAAAAACUCAUGAAAAUAUAAGAAAAUCUCAUAAUAAUAUAAUUAAAAGUAUAAUAGACAUUUUAAAGUUAUUUUAUUGAAAAUUUUGAUAUAUGUAUAACAUGAUUUAUCAUAUUUGAUAAUAAUAUCGUAUGCGUCGAUAAAAAUAUGAAUUUUAUAAGUGUACAUUUAUUAUUAAAUUACACCUAAUAUUAUGAUAUCUGAUUAUAAUAUGUCUAAUUUUAAAAUAUAUAUUAGUAUUAAAAUAUGAUCCAUUUAAUUCAAUUGUAUUAAACAAUAUAAAAUAAAUAAUGAUAUAUAUAUAUAUAUAUAUAAUUUUUUAAUAUUUAAUUAAUUAUUAAUGAUAUUAAAAACAUUAUGAAGAAAAUUAUAUAAUUUUUUAAUUUUUGGUAAUUAAUUAAAAGACUUUGCAUUUAAUUAUAAAUUAAUUAUAAUUAAUUUACUCUUUAAAAUAUUCUUAUAUUUUCUUUAUAUAAUGAAUUUAAGUAUAUAUAUAGUUGUUGCAUAUUAUAUAUUAAAGGACAACUUAGCCCAAGUGGUAAGCGAGUGAACCCCAAUGUGAGGCAUUGUAGCACGUGCACUGUAGCAUCACUGUAGCGACUCUGACUUUCGUUGACCCGCAUUGACUACACGAUAUAUCGGAGAAAAAUCACUGAUUUAUCGCCAAAUCACCAAUAAAUCGCCGAUUUCUCGCGAUAAAUACCAAAAUAUAGUGUCGAAACCCUUCGAUACACGAUUUUUCGGCGCAUUUUCUUACUUGGAUUUACCUUUUUGUUCUUUGGGAUCUUCCAUGACUCAUUUUUUAAUGCCAUUUUAUUUUCCUUUUUGUUUCUAAAUUUUUAAAAAAUCGUUUUCACUUCUUUUUUUUAAGAAAAUUUUGGCAAAUUUUGAAAAUAUAAUAUUAGUGUUUUCACUUCUUUCUUUUUUUUUUUUUUCUUUUUUUUUUUAAACUCAAUUUUCUAAAAAAUGAAAAUAGAAAAACAUUGUCUAAACAUGUUUGUAAACUUAAUUUUAUUUUUUUAUAAAUGAAAAAAAAAAUCUAAAUGAGUAAGGCUUUAUUAAUUUUAAUUUUUUUCUUUUCCUUAUAUUUUCUUAUUUUAUUCCAAAUUUUCUUGCAACCAAACAUAAUCUAAAUGUUUACAACUUUUAUUGUAAGGAAUGAAUGACACUACUUUGUGAACUUUUAUGAUAAUAUUUUGAAUCAUAAAUUGUGUUUUUUUUAGUAAUAUCAAUUUUAUUACCAAUGACUUAAUUGUUAAUAACAAAAUAUAAUAUUUAUAAAUAUUUUUAUUCUCAACAGGCUACAAUUUUUACUCUUGUGAUAAAAAAAAUUUUGUCAUAAAUUACACAUUAUGAUGAGUUUUUCUAUUUUCCUUAUCAGCCAAUUCAACAAAUAUCAUAUAUAUUGUAAUGGCUAACAAAUUUUCACAUAAAUUUUUUAUAAGAUAAAGUAGAAUGGAAUUAUUCAAUUUCAAAAAAAAAAAAAAUGGUACCUAAUGAAAAAGAUAAAAUAUAUAGAUCAUCUCGAAGAAAUCAGGAAAGAUAAAUGAUGAGACCAUAUAUAGGACCCUUGAUGGAGACUAUUUUAAUUGAAGUGGUGUGCUCCUUCCGACUCAGAACAUGUUCAGCAUUGCACACAAACUAACAUCGUCGAUCUUGAGUAUGAAAAAGGUGAUUAGAUUCCAAGGUUGUCGUUUGUCCCAACUCCUCAUAUUAGAGGUGAUGCUCAAGCUAACGUGCCUCGCAGUUGAGCCCCGGCCAAUCGGUCUAAUAUGCUUUUCCAAUGGUGAGUUUCACUGCCACCAUGUAUUACAUUAAUUCCGAUAGCGCACAAGUUGUGUUUGUGCUAUUGCUUUUUGCCCUCACAAACAUAUACACAAGAGACAUUCAGACCAGAUCUGUUCUACCAUCCUCUAGGAAAGCAUUGUAGGUCAUUUGAAAUUGGGAUUUCAGCACCAGAGUCAAAUUGCCUUCCUUCCUGAAAGAUGAGCAUUUUUUAUACUCUUACAUCGGCUUUUAUGGAAAUGAAAUCAGCUUCUCAUUCUGUUACAUUUUUCAAUUUUGCUGCCUAUAACUGCUCACUGCCUGUUUGUGAGACAUUAUCCAGAUUUUCCCUGAUCAAUUAUAGAGAGGUCAUUGGACUCAUCCAUGAUUGGAAUUUCCUGUUAUCAUUAUUUGCAAAUCAUCAACCAUUUGUCAUGAUAUCUUAAGUUAAGCUGAGCACGAAUUUCAGCUAAGAUCCUCAGAACUAGAAAUAUGCACUGCAGGUAUUACUUGAUAUGUGAAUAUCCAAUACAAUAUUUUUUUACUAAGAGGAAUACGAAUUUGAAACACUUUCCAAUAAUUUAUCAAGUCAUAUUUUCGUGCUGUCGUGAUACAUGUGUCUACUGUAUGCAUGGCUUUUCUUUUCUACACAUGCCUUUAUCUUUGCACAUGACUCUUUUGAUACACGCCAGCAUCAAGGCAAUUGCCUAAAUCUAAAUCACAUCCUUUGUGUCACGUCUUCCUUGUUACCACGGUCCUCUUGUACACCAUGGUCCCUUAAUGUAACUUGUGCCACAAGCCCUUUGUGCAUGAAUUCAAAUUGUUCAAUCAUUUCGCCAUUUACACCUUUUAAGGUCCAAUAAGCGUAUACAAGAGACUACACUCAUUCUAGAUGAUAAAGUACAUUCAACUAACUACUCUUGCUAAUGAGCAUAUCCAAGUCAAUACAUAAGAUUAAUUAUUACAUAUGGUAAUUGAAACCCUGUUUAAAUAAAUAGUGACACAAAUAUAAAAAAUAUAUAUAUUUAAAAAUAAAUAAAUAACAAUUUAGAGAAUUUCAUAACUUAGUAUCAAACCUAUUGUAGGAAAGAGUAUUAUACAAUGUAGGGUUUAGGAUCAAAGUUAACCUAAGAUCAAUUUUAAGUUUUAAGACCAAUUCAAAUUCAAAACUAAGGUUUUAAGUUUCAAAAAUAUAUCUCUUAAACCAAUUAAAUAGAAAAAAGAAAAUUACAAAGAAAAUUUCUUCCUCAUCGGUUUCUUUUAUCUUGAAAACUAAAGGAAAUAUAUAUCAAUAUUUGAGAUGGAAAUUCAUAAUCUUAGAAACACAAAGAACAAAGAGAGUAUGAAGAGACCAUACCAUGAGAGAUUUUCCAAAAGGUUGGUAAACCAUGGUAAUCACCUUUGAGUUUUGCUGAGAAAAACAAACCUUAAUUUUUAUUUUUAUUUUUUUAUCAUUUUUUCUCUUGUGGUGUACAUUUAAGAAAAACAAAUCUUAAAAAAAAAAAAAAAAAAACCAAAUAAUGCCAGAAUUUGGGUUGAGAAACACCCAAAAGAUAGUGGCCCAAUACAUGUGCCUAAGAAAAUCUUCAUGAGCCGAUAAACAUAGUCACAAAACUAGUAACAGCCUUGUAGCCAUAGUUGGUGUAGUAUGAGCAAGUGGGGUAUGAAGUAGGUAGGUGAGUAUUGCAAUGAAAUUUCCAGCACUGCUUCCUGAAUUAAGAAAUCACAUACCCAAGUCUUAGUCGUCGUCGUCGUACCGUGUGAGAACCGGGAAGAAUCUUUGCUCGUAGAGUGGCUUUUGUAGUCUUUCUUUAACAAUUACAAGUUAUCUGAAUUCCCUUCAUCCUCCUAUAUAAUAUUGUUUUUGGUCUUGUUCUUGUUGCAUUGUGGCUAGGCAUCUCCAUGGAAGGAAGGAGGAUGAAUCAAGUUCCUUUGUAUGAAUCAAUUUCUCUGCUCUUUUUCUUUUCAAUCCGUGAAUCGAAUCAUUGCUUAGUUCUUGCUUUAAUUUCUCCAUUUUCUGUUGGGUCUUUGACUGCAGGUUUAGCUCUGCAAGAGAACUGGGAAAUUUAAUGGUGACCUCCAAUCUAAUCGACUCUGCUUUGACUAAAAUUCUUGAGCUUCAAAGAGACCAAACAGCCUUGCUUUCCUCCGUUCAAUACAGAGUUUUUUAUCCAUCUCCCAAGUGCACAAUUGUAGCUUUUGUCUCUUCACCUGACUGCACUCAAAACCCUCUUCCUGGACAAGGAGAUUUAGUUCCGUCUCCUCUCUUUGACUUCCUCUGCACCGAAGAAUACAAGUCCGUCUCCAUUAACAGAGCUGCAUUAACCCUCUUUACCUCUUUCCACGAUCAUCUCUCUGGACUAAAAACUCAGGUCAAAAUAUGAUAGUUGUUUUUAUUUUCGUUUCCUUUUUGUUAACAAUUGUGAGACAUGAAACAGCUUGACCAUGAGAUCUCUCUCAUAGAGUCAAACUACCUGAAGAAGAAGAAGACGUUACACAUAUCCAUCUGCGUUGCAUCAUCGCAUUACCCAUUGAUCGGUUGUGAUUCAACUCUUAAUAGGAAGACAGUAGAACUGGUGUUGGUAUCUGUUUUUAGAUCAGCUUAUAUGUAUCUUGUUUCUAAAAAAGGUAAGUUUAGAAGUGAGAUUAAUGGGAUUAUUCUGACAUGGAUUCCAUAUGGUUACCUGUUUUGCAGUUGACUCAGAUUGAAGGUCAAUUAAUCAUCACUGGGCACUCCCUGGGAGGAUCCGUUGCUUCUCUCUUCACCUUAUGCCUGCUAGAUGGAAAUUUAUUAAAACCCAACUGCCGCCCCUUUUGUAUCACCUUUGGUUCACCCCUCAUCGGCGGCUUUGGCCUCCAACACUCCAUAUGGAAUUCUUUCUUCCUGCAUGUAGUGUCUAACCAAGACCCAGUCCCCGGUCUCUUCCUCCCAUCUGGCAGAGGCAGAUCUACGCCCACAUCCUCCCAUUCACAAACUACCGGUUACAAGCCCUUUGGGACAUAUCUCUUGUGCUCUGAACUUGGUUGUGCUUGUUUGGAAAAGCCUGAUUUAAUUUUGGGAUUGCUGAAAGUCAGAUCAUCCGAGGUUGCCGGAGGAUUGCAGGAUGUUGAUUAUGGGGAGAUUUUAAGAAACCUCAAGGAGAGGGCAAUCUGCAAGGGACUUCAGCAGGUGGGUGAAAGGUUUGCAGAUCCUUUUACAGCUGGGAUCAUCAUGGACCUUGAGAUAAUUGGAUUUGAUCAAACAAAGGUAAACAGCUAGCUUUCUCCCAUCUAAUGAUGUUAUGAAACAUGGUUUACACUUCACCAAAUACUGCAACAACUGCCCUAUUUAGAUUUGCCGUCUUGUUCUUUGGGAUCUUCCAUAACUAGACUCAUUUUUUAAUUUCAUGGCAGCUGCUGCAGCAUAACAUUGAUAUCGAGACUGUGAUAAGCACAAUGGAAGAGGAAGCCAGAAACCCAACCAAAAAAAAUAAAGCUUUCGAUGCCAAGAUUCUGAAUCACAAAAAAAAAGACAUGGCCGGGCUAGAAUGGUAUAAGAAGAAAUCAAAAGAUCUGAACAAGGGUUACUACGACUGCUUCAAAAACCAGGGGUCAAAAAGGGACAUUAAAAUUGAACAGUAUGGGGGACACCUCACAUUAUACUGGAAAGACAUGGUUGCACAAGUACAGAGGAAGCCCCAGAAGGAAGGAGCAACAUUUCGAACCCGUUGGCUCUAUGCAGGGACGGUUUAUAGAAGAAUGGUUGAACCACUGGACAUUGCUGCCUUCUACGUAGAGGGUGGAACAGACUACAUGAAGAAUGAAAGAUCUCUUCAUUACAAGCUGUUGCAGCAAUGGUAUGAGGAAGAUGUGAAACCCCCCUCUAAGGAUAAGCUUGAUUCCAAGAAGCAAAAGGUGUCUGGUAUCCUAACUGAGGAUUCUUGCUUUUGGGCACAUGUGGAGGAGGCUAUCUUGUCAUGCGAAUUGCUUAAGAGUGAAAACUGUACUCUUGAGCAGGAAAAAUCAUCAUGGGAUAAUCUGGUUAAGUUCGAGGAGUAUGUAAUGGAACAGAUUAACAACUAUGCAGUGUCCCCUGAGAUUUUCUUGGGGGAAAGCAGCUUCAUGAAAUGGUGGGGACUGUAUGAGGGCUACAUAUAUGCUCGCAGUAAUUCCCAUAGGUCACCAUUGAUCAGCUUUAUGAAGAACGGUAGUUAUACAGAGUAUCGUUAGAGGGGUAAUCCAGUUUGUGUGUUGUGUGUAUUGUUUUGUGAGCAUUCAAUGGAUAGAACUAGAAAGAGUGUGACCUUUUUCCUUUUUUUCUUCUAGUUGCUGCCCAUAUUCUCAGCACUAUUUUCUUCCUUCUUUUCCUCAGUUUUUUCUUAAGAAAUGAAUAUUAUGAUGUUGCUGGGAUGCACUUUCAUUUUUGUUCCAUUACAUUGUGUUUUAUUCAUAUCCUAAACAAAUAAAUGUAAACAAGAAAAUCAAAUAAGACUUCAAAGAGUCUGUUCCUUUUAAAGCAAGGGAAAAAAAGGACAUGUUUGUUUACUUCCACAGCUGGGUAGAUUCAACUCCACCAAAAUUGGCAACAACUUCCCAUUGAAAAAUUCCUUCUAAGCUUGAAUGACAUAAAACUAGAUAUGUUCCAGCUAGAAUGGUACAAAAAAGAAAUCAAAAGAUGAGCACAAUGGGUUAUUAUGACAGCUUUAGAAACCAUCUUACAACACAUCCAUCAGAAUUUAGACUAUUCAUAGAAACAUUCUUAACAUGUAAAUCUACUAUUGCCAUGCACGUCAACAUAGAAUUUCUAAAAUGAUUGAAUAAAAUAAAUAAAACAAAAGAAACCCUUCCAAGAGAAUUUCAUAAUCUAAUGUCAAAUCUAUUACGAAGAUGAACAUGUAAAAUUUAAGGUUUAUAAUCAAAGUCGACUUGAAUCUGAGUUUUAAAACCAAUUUGCAGUUUUUAAGUUUGGAGACUAGAUCUCUUAAACCAAUUAAAUGUAAAAAACUAAAAAGAAAACUUCUUCAAAUUUUGAAAUGAGAAUGAGAAUGCAAUUCCUAACUAGUUUCUUCAUCAAAAAUCCCGAAAAAAAAAAAAAAAGAAGAGAGAGAGAGACCAUAGACGCCAGUGUUUGGGUUUAGAACCACCCAAGAGAGAGUAGUCCAAUAUAUGGGCUUAAGAAAAUCCUCAUGGGCCUAAGCUAAGACUAGGAACAAUCUUGUAUCCGUGGUUGGUUUAGUAUGAGCAUGUGUACUGCGAAGGAAGUAGCUGAGAAUUGCAAUGGAAUUUCCAGUACUGCUUCCUGAACGAACAAAUCGCAUACCCAAGAUUUGGUCGUCAACGCCAUGCUGGGUGAGAACCGGGGAAGCAUCUUCGCUCGUUGACGAGCUUUUGUAGUCCUUCUUUAACAAUUAUAAGGCAUCUGAAUUCCCUUCAUCCUCCCACACCAUUGUUUUUGGUCUUGUUCUUGUUGCUUUGUGACUACGCAUCUCCAUGGAAGGAAGGAGGAUGAACCAAGUUCCUUUGUAUGCAUCAAUUUUACUGUUUUUUUUUUCCUUUUUAAUCUUUGGAUCGAAUCAUUGCUUAGUUCUUGCUUAAUUUCUCCAUUUUAUGUUGGGUCUUUGAUUGCAGGUUUAGCUCUGCGCGAGAACUGGGAAAUUUAAUUGUGACCUCCAAUCUAAUCGACUCUGCUUUGACUAAAAUUCUUGAGCUUCAAAGAGACCAAACAGCCUUGCCUUCCCCCGUUCAAUACAGAGUUUUUUAUCCAUCUCCCAAGUGCACAAUUGUAGCUUUUGUCUCUUCACCUGACUGCACUCAAAACCCUCUUCCUGGACAAGGAGAUUUAGUUCCCUCUCCUCUCUUUGACUUCCUCUGCACCGAAGAAUACCCUUCCGUCUCCAUUAACGGAGCCGCAUUAACCCUCUUUACCUCUCUCUACGAUCAUCUCUCUGGACUAAUAGAUGAGGUCAAAAUCUGAUACUUGUUUUAAUUUACGUUAACUUUUCGUUAACAAUUGUGAGACACGUAUAUAUAUAUAUAUAUAUAUAUAUCUUGUGGAUAAAAGGAAAGUUUACAAGUGAGAAUAGUGGCAUUUUUCUGACAGAUUUCACACCGUUGCUUGUUUUGCACUUGACUGUGAUUGAAGGUCGAUUAAUCAUCACUGGGCACUCGAUGGGAGGAUCCGUUGCUUCUCUCUUCACCUUAUGCCUGCUAGAAGUCAUUAAUAUAUCAAAACCCAAAUGCCGCCCCAUUUGCAUCACAUUUGGUUCACCCCUCAUAGGCGACUUUGGCUUCCAACACUCCAAUUGGAAUUCUUUCUUCUUGCAUGUAGUGUCCAACCAAGAUCUAGUCCCCGGACUCUUCCUCCCAUCCGGCAGAUCUCCUCCCACAUCCUCCCAUUCACAAACUACUGGUUACAAGCCCUUUGGGACAUAUCUCUUGUGCUCUGAACUUGGUUGUGCUUGUUUUGACAACCCUGAUUUAAUUUUGGAAUUGCUGAAAGUCAUAUCAUCAGAGGUUGCCGGAGGAUUGCGGGAUGUUGAUUACAGGAAGAUUUUAAUAAACCUCAAGGAGAGGGCAAUCUUCAAGGGACUUCAGCAGGUGGGUGAAAGGUUUGCAGAUCCCUUGUCAGCUGGGAUCAUCAUGGACCUUGAGAUAAUUGGAUUUGAUCAAACAAAGGUAAACAGCUUUCUCCCAAUUAAUGAUGUAGCAUGGUUUACACUCAACUUCACCAAAACCUGCAACAACUGCCCUAUUUAGAUUUGCCUUCCGGUUCUUUGGGUUCUUCUAUAACUUCUCAUUUUUUAAAUCCAUGGCAGCUGUUGCGGCACAACAUUGAUAUCAACACUGUGAUAAGGAUACUGGGAGCGGAAGCCAGAAUCCUAGCCCACAAAAAUAAAGCUUCUGAUGCCAAGAAACUGAAUGACAUAAAAAUACACAUGGCCCAGCUAGAAUGGUAUAAGAAGAAAUCAAAAGAUCUGAACAAGGGUUACUACGACUGCUUCAAAAACCAGGGGUUAAAAAGGGACAUUAAAAUUGAACAGUAUAGGGGACACCUCACAAUAUACUGGAAAGACAUGGUUGCACAAGUACAGAGGAAGCCCCAGAAGGAAGGAGCAUCAUUUCGAACCAGUUGGCUCUAUCCAGGGACAACUUAUAGAAGAAUGGUUGAACCACUGGACAUUGCUGCCUUCUACAGAGAGGGUAGAACAGACUACAUAAACAAUGGAAGAUCUCCUCAUUACAAGCUGUUGCAGCAAUGGUAUGAGGAAGAUGUGAAGCCCCCAUCCAGAGAUAAGCUCGAUUCCAAGAAACUAAAGGUGUCUGGUAUCCUAACUGAGGAUUCUUUGUUUUGGGCACAUGUGGAGGAGGCUCUCUUGUCAUGCGAAUCGCUCAAGAGUGCAAACUCUACUCUUGAGCAGAGAAAAUCAUCAUGGGAUAAUCUGGUUAAGUUUGGGGAGUAUGUAAUGGAACAGAUUGGAAACUAUGCAGUGUCCCCUGAGAUUUUCUUGGGGGAAAGCAGCUUCAUGAAAUGGUGGGGAGUGUAUGAGGACUACAUAGAUGCUUCCAAUAAUUUCUAUGGGUCACCAUUGAUCAACUUUAUGAAGGACCGUAGUUAUAGACUGUAUGGUUAGAGGGCAAUCCAGUUUGUGUAUUGUGUUUAUUGUAUUGUGAGCAUUCAAUAGAUAAAACUAGAAAGAGCGUGACCUUUUUAUGACAACUUUAGAAACCAGGGGUUAAAAGAGACAUUACAAAUUGAAUUUUUUGAGAGGAAACCUCAAGAGUAUACUGGGAAGCCAUGGUGGAACAAGUAGAGAGGAAGCUUCGGAAGGAAGGAUCAAUGGUUGAACCACUUGACAUUGUUGCCUACUUCAGGGAGGGUGUAAGAAACAACAUAACCGAGGGAAGAUCUGAACAUUAAACAUUGUACAAUUAUUGUAAAUGUCUUAUACAUUACGUGUGAAAAUACCAAAAAAAAUUAUAUUCAACAUUUAUGUUUGUAUACAAGCAAUAUUUUGGAUAGUUUGAUAUAAAAAACAAAUGAAGAAAACGAAGAAAAACAUACAAAUAUAUUUACAAUGGACAAACUUAUACAAUUAGUGUAAAUGUCUUGUAUAUUUAGUACAAAAGUCUCGUACUUUGUAAAAAUAUAAAAAUAUAGUAUUUGACUUUUAUAUAUGUGUGAAAAUGUAAAAGGAAAAAGAAAAAUAGUUAGAGCAUUUGGUACCGUGAGUGAUGACUUCACCUAAAGAAAGGUUAAUGAAUAUUAUGGUCUCGAUGGAAGAGCGACUCCGGUAAAAUAUAUGGAUUAAAUUGAUGCUUUUCUUUUGACGAUGAAGUAGUUGAGUUAUGAAUACGAGGUUUUGCUAACAACAUUGAAGGCAAGGAUUCCCUAAUAUACUCCAAUUCAUAUUCAAUUUGUAGACCUUCAACUAACUACUCUUGCUAAUGAGCAUAUCCAAGUGAAUACAUAAGAUUAAUUAUUACAUAUGAUAAUUGAAACCCUGUUUAAAUAAAUAGUGACACAAAUAUAAAAAAUAUAUAUAUUUAAAAAUAAAUAAAUAAUAAUUUAGAGAAUUUCAUAACUUAGCAUCAAACCUAUUGUAGGAAAGAGUAUUAUACAAUGUAGGGUUUAGGAUCAAAGUUAACCUAAGAUCAAAUUUAAGUCUUAAGACCAAUUCACAUUCAAAACUAAGGUUUUAAAUUUCAAAAAUAUAUCUCUUAAACCAAUUAAAUGGAAAAAAGAAAAUUACAAAGAAAAUUUCUUCCUCAUCGGUUUCUUUUAUCUUGAAAACUAAAGGAAAUAUAUAUCAAUAUUUGAGAUGGAAAUUCAUAAUCUUAGAAACACAAAGAACAAAGAGAGUAUGAAGAGACCAUACCAUGAGAGAUUUUCCAAAAGGUUGGUAAACCAUGGUAAUCACCUUUGAGUUUUGCUGAGAAAAACAAACCUUAAUUUUUAUUUUUAUUUUUUUAUCAUUUUUUCUCUUGUGGUGUACAUUUAAGAAAAACAAAUCUUAAAAAAAAAAAAAAAAAAACCAAAUAAUGCCAGAAUUUGGGUUGAGAAACACCCAAAAGAUAGUGGCCCAAUACAUGUGCCUAAGAAAAUCUUCAUGAGCCGAUAAACAUAGUCACAAAACUAGGAACAGCCUUGUAGCCAUAGUUGGUGUAGUAUGAGCAAGUGGGGUAUGAAGUAGGUAGGUGAGUAUUGCAAUGAAAUUUCCAGCACUGCUUCCUGAAUUAAGAAAUCACAUACUCAAGUCUUAAUCGUUGUCAUCAUACCGUGUGAGAACCGAGGAAGAAUCUUUGCUCUUAGACUGGAUUUUGUAGUCUUUCUUUAACAAUUACAAGUUAUCUGAAUUCCCUUCAUCCUCCUAUAUAAUAUUGUUUUUGGUCUUGUUCUUGUUGCAUUGUGGCUAGGCAUCUCCAUGGGAGGAAGGAGGAUGAAUCAAGUUCCUUUGUAUGAAUCAAUUUCUCUGCUCUUUUUUUUUUCAAUCCUUGAAUCGAAUCAUUGCUUAGUUCUUGCUUUAAUUUCUCCAUUUUCUGUUGGGUCUUUGAUUGCAGGUUUAGCUCUGCAAGAAAACUGGGAAAUUUAAUUGUGACCUCCAAUCUAAUCGACUCUGCUUUGACUAAAAUUCUUGAGCUUCAAAGAGACCAAACAGCCUUGCCUUCCCCCGUUCAAUACAGAGUUUUUUAUCCAUCUCCCAAGUGCACAAUUGUAGCUUUUGUCUCUUCACCUGACUGCACUCAAAACCCUCUUCCUGGACAAGGAGAUUUAGUUCCCUCUCCUCUCUUUGACUUCCUCUGCACCGAAGAAUACAAGUCCGUCUCCAUUAACAGAGCUGCAUUAACCCUCUUUACCUCUCUCCACGAUCAUCUCUCUGGACUAAAAACUCAGGUCAAAAUAUGAUAGUUGUUUUUAUUUUCGUUUCCUUUUUGUUAACAAUUGUGAGACAUGAAACAGCUUGACCAUGAGAUCUCUCUCAUAGAGUCAAACUACCUGAAGAAGAAGAAGACGUUACACAUAUCCAUCUGCGCUGCAUCAUCGCAUUACCCAUUGAUCGGUUGUGAUUCAACUCUUAAUAGGAAGACAGUAGAACUGGUGUUGGUAUCUGUUUUUAGAUCAGCUUAUAUGUAUCUUGUUGCUAAAAAGGGAAAGUUUAGAAGUGAGAUUAAUGGGAUUAUUCUGACAUGGAUUUCAUAUGGUUACCUGUUUUGCAGUUGACUGUGAUUGAAGGUCGAUUAAUCAUCACUGGGUACUCGAUGGGAGGAUCCGUUGCUUCUCUCUUCACCUUAUGCCUGUUAGAAGUCAUCAAUUUAUCAAAACCCAAAUGCCGCCCCAUUUGUAUCACCUUUGGUUCACCCCUCAUAGGCGACUUUGGCCUCCAACACUCCAAUUGGAAUUCUUUCUUCUUGCAUGUAGUGUCCAACCAAGAUCUAGUCCCCGGACUCUUCCUCCCAUCCGA